Fukomys damarensis (Damara mole-rat) is the source of this 357-nucleotide long non-coding RNA. RefSeq lists it as uncharacterized. The transcript is spliced from 4 exons. Lineage: Eukaryota; Metazoa; Chordata; Mammalia; Rodentia; Bathyergidae. The record is from RefSeq and is a predicted model, not a curated record.
GAAUGAAGCACCACUCUGUAGCACAAAGCUAAGCUGGGGGCCUGGGAAGGGACCCUGUAGUCCUAAGAGGCAGGACCUUUCGAAAGCAACCAGUGAGCCCAAGUAGACUCCAAGCAGAAUGUCCCCACUCCGUCGUCUUCCUUCAGGAUCUCCACUCCUGAAGGACUACAGCCUCACUCUAUAGGAGUCUCCUGCCUGACAAAGCAUAGCUUUUGGCUCCCCAGGCUCUGUACCUCCCAAAGCCCUGUUCUGGUCCACCAGGCUUCUGGAAUGGUCAACAGUCGUCACACUCCAUUGCUGGCUAUUGUCUACUCCGAAAGAAUUGCUGCUGAGGACAAUGGGCAUCACAUCACUCAA